This 1358-nucleotide ribosomal RNA is filed under the name uncultured bacterium. Its description in RNAcentral is "bacterial SSU rRNA". It matches the Rfam family "Bacterial small subunit ribosomal RNA", at positions 28 to 1394 of the family's 1533-position model. The record is from RNAcentral.
GAUGAACGCUGGCGGCGUGCUUAACACAUGCAAGUCGAACGAUGAAGCCCAGCUUGCUGGGUGGAUUAGUGGCGAACGGGUGAGUAACACGUGAGUAACCUGCCCCUGACUCUGGGAUAAGCCCGGGAAACUGGGUCUAAUACUGGAUAUGACCUGUCACCGCAUGGUGGUGGGUGGAAAGAUUUUUUGGUUGGGGAUGGACUCGCGGCCUAUCAGCUUGUUGGUGAGGUAGUGGCUCACCAAGGCGACGACGGGUAGCCGGCCUGAGAGGGUGACCGGCCACACUGGGACUGAGACACGGCCCAGACUCCUACGGGAGGCAGCAGUGGGGAAUAUUGCACAAUGGGCGCAAGCCUGAUGCAGCGACGCCGCGUGAGGGAUGACGGCCUUCGGGUUGUAAACCUCUUUCAGUAGGGAAGAAGCCUUUUGGGUGACGGUACCUGCAGAAGAAGCGCCGGCUAACUACGUGCCAGCAGCCGCGGUAAUACGUAGGGCGCAAGCGUUAUCCGGAUUUAUUGGGCGUAAAGAGCUCGUAGGCGGUUUGUCGCGUCUGCCGUGAAAGUCCGGGGCUUAACUCCGGAUCUGCGGUGGGUACGGGCAGACUAGAGUGCAGUAGGGGAGACUGGAAUUCCUGGUGUAGCGGUGAAAUGCGCAGAUAUCAGGAGGAACACCGAUGGCGAAGGCAGGUCUCUGGGCUGUAACUGACGCUGAGGAGCGAAAGCAUGGGGAGCGAACAGGAUUAGAUACCCUGGUAGUCCAUGCCGUAAACGUUGGGCACUAGGUGUGGGGGACAUUCCACGUUUUCCGCGCCGUAGCUAACGCAUUAAGUGCCCCGCCUGGGGAGUACGGCCGCAAGGCUAAAACUCAAAGGAAUUGACGGGGGCCCGCACAAGCGGCGGAGCAUGCGGAUUAAUUCGAUGCAACGCGAAGAACCUUACCAAGGCUUGACAUGGACUGGAUCGCCGCAGAGAUGUGGUUUCCCUUCGGGGCUGGUUCACAGGUGGUGCAUGGUUGUCGUCAGCUCGUGUCGUGAGAUGUUGGGUUAAGUCCCGCAACGAGCGCAACCCUCGUUCCAUGUUGCCAGCGGGUUAUGCCGGGGACUCAUGGGAGACUGCCGGGGUCAACUCGGAGGAAGGUGAGGACGACGUCAAAUCAUCAUGCCCCUUAUGUCUUGGGCUUCACGCAUGCUACAAUGGCCGGUACAAAGGGUUGCGAUACUGUGAGGUGGAGCUAAUCCCAAAAAGCCGGUCUCAGUUCGGAUUGGGGUCUGCAACUCGACCCCAUGAAGUCGGAGUCGCUAGUAAUCGCAGAUCAGCAACGCUGCGGUGAAUACGUUCCCGGGCCUUGUACACACCGCC